RNAcentral lists this ribosomal RNA (492 nucleotides) under uncultured bacterium. Its description in RNAcentral is "partial 16S ribosomal RNA". It matches the Rfam family "Bacterial small subunit ribosomal RNA", at positions 29 to 507 of the family's 1533-position model. The record is from RNAcentral.
AGUGAACGCUGGCGGUAGGCCUAACACAUGCAAGUCGAACGGCAGCACAGUAAGAGCUUGCUCUUACGGGUGGCGAGUGGCGGACGGGUGAGGAAUACAUCGGAAUCUACUUUUUCGUGGGGGAUAACGUAGGGAAACUUACGCUAAUACCGCAUACGACCUACGGGUGAAAGCAGGGGAUCUUCGGACCUUGCGCGAUUGAAUGAGCCGAUGUCGGAUUAGCUAGUUGGCGGGGUAAAGGCCCACCAAGGCGACGAUCCGUAGCUGGUCUGAGAGGAUGAUCAGCCACACUGGAACUGAGACACGGUCCAGACUCCUACGGGAGGCAGCAGUGGGGAAUACUGGACGAUGGGCGAGAGCCUGAUCCAGCCAUACCGCGUGGGUGAAGAAGGACUUCGGGUUGUAAAGCCCUUUUGUUGGGAAAGAAAAGCAGCAGGUUAAUACCCCGCUGUUCUGACGGUACCCAAAGAAUAAGCACCGGCUAACUUCGUG